AGAGGAAUAGCUGGGUCAAAUGGUGGUUCCAUUCCCAGAUUUCCAAGGAAUCUCCAUAGUGCUUUCCAAAUUGGCUGCACCAAUUUGCAGUCCCACCAGCAAU
This 103-nucleotide microRNA precursor is filed under the name Marmota monax (woodchuck). Lineage: Eukaryota; Metazoa; Chordata; Mammalia; Rodentia; Sciuridae. The record is from RNAcentral.